RNAcentral lists this ribosomal RNA (429 nucleotides) under Chloroflexota bacterium. RNAcentral's name for it is "Chloroflexi bacterium partial 16S ribosomal RNA". It matches the Rfam family "Bacterial small subunit ribosomal RNA", at positions 355 to 776 of the family's 1533-position model. Lineage: Bacteria; Bacillati; Chloroflexota. The record is from RNAcentral.
UGGGGAAUAUUGCACAAUGGGCGCAAGCCUGAUGCAGCCAUGCCGCGUGUGUGAAGAAGGCCUUCGGGUUGUAAAGCACUUUCAGCGGGGAGGAAGGCGGUGAGGUUAAUAACCUCAUCGAUUGACGUUACCCGCAGAAGAAGCACCGGCUAACUCCGUGCCAGCAGCCGCGGUAAUACGGAGGGUGCAAGCGUUAAUCGGAAUUACUGGGCGUAAAGCGCACGCAGGCGGUCUGUCAAGUCGGAUGUGAAAUCCCCGGGCUCAACCUGGGAACUGCAUUCGAAACUGGCAGGCUAGAGUCUUGUAGAGGGGGGUAGAAUUCCAGGUGUAGCGGUGGAAUGCGUAGAGAUCUGGAGGAAUACCGGUGGCGAAGGCGGCCCCCUGGACAAAGACUGACGCUCAGGUGCGAAAGCGUGGGGAGCAAACAGG